GGGCACCAAUGUGUGGCUUCUUCACAUCCCACAGGCCGGACCCCCUGGGCCUCACCUUCCAGUGAGGGAAGAGAGAGGUGACUGCCUUUUCUUUCUCUGCACAGAGCAGCAGGGGAGUCGUGACCCCCAGGGGCUCAGUAGAGCAUGAGCCUGGCCAUUGCCAAGCGGCCCGCCCAUGCGUGCUGUGGUUACACGGUCUUCAUGCUGGCUGGGGAGCCCCGAGAACUCGGGUUUGGUUCGUCCUCCAAACACGUGAACACGUGUUGAGCACUGACUGUGAAUUCGGCAGCUGUGAUGGGGGCUGAACUCAGGGCCAAGGAGCCAGGCUCCACUCCACUGUGACACCAGGUGUGGGGCUCGGUGCAGAGCCACACUUUGAACCUGAGAGAGUGGCUGAGCUGGAUGAUUCUCAAAGUGCGCUCUGCGGACCAGCAGCAGCACCACCAGCAGCAGCAUCACCCGGGAACUCAAAGGAAAUGCAGGUUCUCUGGCCUCUGCCGAAUGCACUGAAUCAGAAUCUGCAUUUUAACAAGAUCCCCAGCUACAACUGCACAAAAGAGCCCGAACGAGAAACACUGGCUGAGCCCAGUCAACCCUGGAACCAGAAGAGAUGAUAAUGCCAUCCAGCCCUGAGAUUUGUUUGGAGGGUGACGCGGCCAAGGAUGACACCCACUGCCCCAGAGGCUGGGGGACUGGCAGGUAUAUCUUAGGGUUUGGGGGUGGGAGUGAAGGUCAUCCUGAGGAGAGUCCUUUUUGAGUGUGUUAAGGUGUCUGUGUCCAUGUGGACGGGCUGUCAGAAUGGGCUGGGGGAUGCGGUCAGGGACCACUCCCAUUCCCAGGGCCUGGGUGUCCUGACCAUCCAUGCUAGGUCUGUUCCACGUUGGCCACACUGUUCCAGGCAAGCGCCUUUGGUCACACGGACUGGUCUCUGAGACUGGUCUGAUGUGUGUACUCUCAGGAGCCUGGACAGGGGCAGUCUCAAUCCAGAAAUGACCUCUUCAAUACUUGGUGUAGUUCCCUGUAUGAAACGCCCAAUAUUAUGAGCCACCCAGGCCUGGGUCACCUGCUGACUGGCUGGAGGAAGUGCAUGGGACCAUGUGAGGUCACGGCAGCCCCAGGGUUUGCAGGUCGUCUGCAUCCUGGCUCCCCCGCUUACAAGCUGUUUGACCUUGGUGAGGUUAGAUCAUCUUCCUAAGCUUCAGUUUCUUCAGCCACACAAUGGGUAUAACACUUACCCUUGAGGGUUACUGCGAUUGUCACACAAGGCAGCAUUUGCAUGGGCCCUGGGCCAUGCUAGACAUUCAUCAGGCACUGAAGCUAUGGGGGAGAGAAGUGAGGGGCCCAGGCUCUGGAGCCAGUGGGUUUAAACUCCACUCUACCACUAACAAGACAUUAUUAAAAACUUCUGUGCGCCUCCAUUUCCUCAUCUGUAACAUGGGGAUAAUAAUAGCACCUGCCUCCUGGCUUGUUGAGAGGAUAUAUGUAGUGCUUACAACAGCACAACACACAUAUAUGGGUACUUCACAAAUACAAAUCCAUUCAAGGAAACCAACCCUGGUGCCCUGGGAUGGCCGUUGGUCAGAGACACAGAAGCCGAAGCCAGCUUAGGACAAGCGGAGGGGCCCAGGCCUGCCCCUCGGUUCCGGGGGCCUCACUUCUGUUCCAGGGCUGUUCAGUUACCUGCUCCUAGGCCUGGGAGGCCCAGUGGACAACAGAGUGACCUCUUCUCCACUGAUUUGAUCUGAAUACAUUCUGCCCCAUGAGGGCCCAAAUGAGGGAACUGGUAUGAUAUUCACAGAGAGGUGACAUCACCCGCUGAAGAUCACACAGCAAGUCCCUGGGCCACCUGGAUCCCGGCCACAGCUCCACCCUGCUACCUCCCUCUCUUAAGUAACACAUUAAUAAGUGUCUUACCCUCAGGCCAUUAUCUGUGUUCCCAGGCCAGGGAACAUUUCUGAAACACAUCAAACAUUGACAAAAAGAGGUGUUUUUCUGUCCCCAGGCCAGGCCCUUCGGCCUCUGUUAACCAGUGAGUGUUCUCUGUUAAUCCUGAGCCCAGCUCCUCCUACACACAAGUACAAACAAGGGCAUUGGGCAUGGGAGAAACCUGUCCACCAGGGCCAGGAGGGGACACGGAAGGUUAAUGGGUCCCCUCCCCCAAAGCAAUGCACACAGCUGGGGCUCAAUAAGUGCUACUGGGUGGUAGGAACAGAGCCAGCUGAGGGCACAGGAAGAGGGAUCUGCUAAGCAGAGGAGGCCUGACCUGGGCUUCAUUGGGUAAAACCAGUCAUCAUAAUAAGUAGCUGGCAUUUCGGGAGCUCUUAGUUAGUUCCAGACACUGCCCUGAGCACUGGACAUGGUCACUCACUAACGUUUCCAUGUUUCAGUAUCUGUGGGGUGCAUAUGUUGCUCUCCCCAGUCUACAGACAGGAAGCUGCAGGCAAGAAAGAUGAAGUCAUUUGCUUAAGUCACACCAUUACCAAGAGGCCGAGCUUGGAUUCACACCCAGCACCCUGGCUCCAGACCCAAGCUCUCAACCACAAUACAAGCCUGUGGAGUGGGAGGGGUGAAAUACAUGAGUGAGGGGUGACUUCUAGGUAUUGGCUUGGGGUGGCUGUCCCUUUGAUGGAUAUGUGGGAGGAGCGCAGGUGUCAGGUGAGGUAUUGGGGAGAAGGUGGAUGAAUUGGGUUUGGCAGGUGUUGAGUUCCAGAUACCUGAGGAUGCUCAGGUGGAGGAGGCAGGAGAGAGGCGGCUUAUGGCUCUGAAGCUGGGUGAUGGGGGCUGGAGCUGCUCACUCCAGAGUCAUCAGCGUAGAAGCGCAGCCUGGGAGACACCUGAGCGAUGAAGGGGCAAGGCCACAGCUAAGGCAGGGGAAUUGAUAUUUAGUGUGCAAGGAUUCAAAAUGACAGCAAGAAAAGAAGUGUUUUAGAGACUAUUACUAUUAUUAUUAUUGAGACAGAGUCUUACUCUGUUGCCCAGGCUGGAGUGCAGGGGUGCAAUCAUAGCUUACUGUAACCUUGAACUCCUGGGCUGAAGUGAUACUCCGGCCUCCGCCUUCCGGGACUCAGCCACCACAACCAGCUAACUUUUAAAUUUUUCUGUAAAGACAGGGUGGGGGAGCCUCCCUAUAUUGCCCAUGCUGGUCUUGAACUCCUGACCUCAAGCAGUCCUCCAGCUUUAGCCUCCCAAAGUGCUGGGAUUACAGGAAUCAGCCACCAAACCUGGCCAAAUGCUAUUUUUAUUUAUUUUAUUUUAUUUAUUUAUUUUUGAGACGGAGUUUUUUUGUUUGUUUGUCUUUUGUUUUCUUUUGAGACAGAGUCUCGCUCUGUCGCCCAGGCUGGAGUAAAGUGGCGUGAUCUUGGCUCACUGCAACCUCCACCCCCUGGGUUCAAGCAAUUUCCUGCCUCAGCCUCCUGAGUAGUUUGGAUUAUGGGCACCUGCCA
RNAcentral lists this long non-coding RNA (3443 nucleotides) under Homo sapiens (human). RNAcentral describes it as "HSALNT0148713". The record is from RNAcentral. Lineage: Eukaryota; Metazoa; Chordata; Mammalia; Primates; Hominidae.